GGUUUUGUGGAGGAGAGCAGGGCAGAGAUAGAGAGGAAUCCUGCCUGGGCCCUCCCAUCCAGCCCUCCCUACAAAUGCCUAGUAGCCACUCUGUGGGGCACAUCUGUCGGCUGGUACAAGCCCCAGUGACCACAGGAGGGCAAGAGAAACCUAAAUUCUGAUAUGAGCUGGAGAGGCAAGAUUAAUCUAAGAGAUAGAUAGGUAGCCACGACGCACUGGUGCUAAGCAAUCAACAGCAGGAGAGGCAGAGAUUGGGAUGGACAAAGGGAUCAUGGAAGGCUCCUUCGAGCUGGACUUGAAGGACUGAUAUCAAACAAAGAAUUACUCUGUACAAAGCCAGAACACAUAUAUCAAAGUAAUCCUGAAGUAUCAGAACAAAAUAAUAGAUUAUUUCCUAAUCAGUAUCCAGAAUUGGGCUCAACCUCUUCUCCUGUUGCUUUCUUAUGUGGAUCUUGUUCACUCAAGUGAUGGCUCCAUGCAAGUUGGCCAAAGGGCUUGUAGUCCUUUACUGGGCUGUAACAGAGGAGGAAAUGAUUUUGAAUAGCCUCUCUCUGUAUUACCAUAAUAAGCUAAUCCUGGCCCCAAUGGUUCGGGUAGGGACUCUUCCAAUGAGGCUGCUGGCCCUGGAUUAUGGAGCGGACAUUGUUUACUGUGAGGAGCUGAUCGACCUCAAGAUGAUUCAGUGCAAGAGAGUUGUCAAUGAGGUGCUCAGCACAGUGGACUUUGUCGCCCCUGAUGAUCGAGUUGUCUUCCGCACCUGUGAAAGAGAGCAGAACAGGGUGGUCUUCCAGAUGGGGACUUCAGACGCAGAGCGAGCCCUUGCUGUGGCCAGGCUUGUAGAAAAUGAUGUGGCUGGUAUUGAUGUCAACAUGGGCUGUCCAAAACAAUAUUCUACCAAGGGAGGAAUGGGAGCUGCCCUGCUGUCAGACCCUGACAAGAUUGAGAAGAUCCUCAGCACUCUUGUUAAAGGGACACACAGACCUGUGACCUGCAAGAUUCGCAUCCUGCCAUCGCUAGAAGAUACCCUGAGCCUUGUGAAGCGGAUAGAGAGGACUGGCAUUGCUGCCAUCGCAGUUCAUGGGAGGAAGCGGGAGGAGCGACCUCAGCAUCCUGUCAGCUGUGAAGUCAUCAAAGCCAUUGCUGAUACCCUCUCCAUUCCUGUCAUAGCCAACGGAGGAUCUCACGACCACAUCCAACAGUAUUCGGACAUAGAGGACUUUCGACAAGCCACGGCAGCCUCUUCCGUGAUGGUGGCCCGAGCAGCCAUGUGGAACCCAUCUAUCUUCCUCAAGGAGGGUCUGCGGCCCCUGGAGGAGGUCAUGCAGAAAUACAUCAGAUACGCGGUGCAGUAUGACAACCACUACACCAACACCAAGUACUGCUUGUGCCAGAUGCUACGAGAACAGCUGGAGUCGCCCCAGGGAAGGUUGCUCCAUGCUGCCCAGUCUUCCCGGGAAAUUUGCUCCCUGUCUACCUGUCUGCUUCCAGAACUCCACACCUGUGCUUGUAAUGGGUCGUCUGCCUGGAAGGCUCUCUCCCUCUCACUGAGGCCUUUGGCCUUGGUGCCUUCUAUGAGGAGACCACACAGGAGCUGGAUGCCCAGCAGGCCAGGCUCUCAGCCAAGACUUCAGAGGAGACAGGGGAGCCAGCUGAAGAUACCUCUGGUGUCAUUAAGAUGGCUGUCAAGUUUGACCGGAGAGCAUACCCAGCCCAGAUCACCCCUAAGAUGUGCCUACUAGAGUGGUGCCGGAGGGAGAAGUUGGCACAGCCUGUGUAUGAAACGGUUCAACGCCCUCUAGAUCGCCUGUUCUCCUCUAUUGUCACCGUUGCUGAACAAAAGUAUCAGUCUACCUUGUGGGACAAGUCCAAGAAACUGGCGGAGCAGGCUGCAGCCAUCGUCUGUCUGCGGAGCCAGGGCCUCCCUGAGGGUCGGCUGGGUGAGGAGAGCCCUUCCUUGCACAAGCGAAAGAGGGAGGCUCCUGACCAAGACCCUGGGGGCCCCAGAGCUCAGGAGCUAGCACAACCUGGGGAUCUGUGCAAGAAGCCCUUUGUGGCCUUGGGAAGUGGUGAAGAAAGCCCCCUGGAAGGCUGGUGACUACUCUUCCUGCCUUAGUCACCCCCUCCAUGGGCCUGGUGCUAAGGUGGCUGUGGAUGCCACAGCAUGAACCAGAUGCCGUUGAACAAUUUGCUGGUCUUGCCUGGCAGAAGUUAGAUGUCCUGGCAGGGGCCAUCAGCCUAGAGCAUGGACCAGGGGCCGCCCAGGGGUGGAUCCUGGCCCCUUUGGUGGAUCUGAGUGACAGGGUCAAGUUCUCUUUGAAAACAGGAGCUUUUCAGGUGGUAACUCCCCAACCUGACAUUGGUACUGUGCAAUAAAGACACCCCCUACCCUCACCCAUGGCUGGCUGCUUCAGCCUUGGGCAUCUUCAUAAA
Molecule: RNA transcript, 2430 nt
Organism: Pan troglodytes (chimpanzee)
Lineage: Eukaryota; Metazoa; Chordata; Mammalia; Primates; Hominidae
Gene: DUS2
Gene name: dihydrouridine synthase 2
Exons: 19
Source: RefSeq, marked provisional